AUAAUGAAAAAAUAUACUAAAAACUAAUCUAAAAACAUUUUAUAUGACAACAUUUGUUUUUUACCCGUAUAUGUUAAUUAAAAAAAAAAAUACUCAUAGUUUGUACUAGUAUAUAAAAAGUGCAAAAUUCAAAGGCUUACAAUUAUGACAAAACAAAAGGGGUAGAUUAGAGUAAUGCCUUAUACAAGUACAAGUAUAAAAAAAAUGUGGGUUUACCGUUUAAAAAAAAAUGGGGUUGGAUUUACGUGGGCUGUUGAUGUGGGCUUCAAUUGUUACUGUAUAAAGUUAAUAGUAGACCUAAUCCAAGUCGGUAUUGGUUUAUUCCUAUCUUUACCUAAUUACCUCUAUAAACAGAAAUUGCAAUUGAAUCUUCAGUUUUGUAUACAUGCUUAAUUCUAAUUUUGAUUCGUUUUAGCAGGCUCAAAUUGACAAAUAUACUUAUAUACAAGGAUAUAUAAUAACAAUUCGAUUUAUAAAGAUGGGUGAUUGGUCCUUGUUGCCCUCUGAUAUUCUUGUUGGAAUUGCUUUGAAAUUGGAUUCCAUUGAGGAAGUUAUGUCAUUCAUGGAAUCAUGUUUGCUCCUCCAUGGUUAAACCCGUGUGGAGUCGUGCGGAUAAACCAACUCCGCCUUGGUUACUGCUAGCAGGGCCUAAGCCGGAGCCGGGUAACGAUGACAAGUCUAAUUGUUAAGUUAUAUGCUCAGACGACUACUUCCCUGAUCAAGGAUACGGAUCGUCAGACGAUGAAGACGACGAUGAUCCUGUGAUGAUAGAGAAAUAUCCCUGGGCUAUGAAAAUUUUGGUGCGAAGAUUCAUUGUAUUAAAGAUUCCUGGAAGCAACAACAUUGAUGAGUUAGUUGUGUUUGUAAUACAUUUCCCAUUUGAUUGUAUAGUUUGUGCUCGUCCCGGAGAUAAAGCAUGGACUGAAGUAGUUGAACCAUGGCCACGAAAUCUAACCCGCCCUUUUAUUCAUCAAGCCAUGGUUUGGGAUGGAAAAGUAAUCAUCUUGUAUGGUCCUAUUAAUAAAAAACUUGUAAUGCAGCGAUUGCAUAUUGUGAUGUA
Chenopodium quinoa (quinoa) is the source of this 1060-nucleotide long non-coding RNA. RefSeq lists it as uncharacterized. NCBI's taxonomy places the organism in Eukaryota, Viridiplantae, Streptophyta, Magnoliopsida, Caryophyllales, Amaranthaceae. The transcript has 2 exons. The record is from RefSeq and is a predicted model, not a curated record.